CUUCCCUAGAGAGCAAUUAAUGGAUUUAGCAAGUGUGCAAAUGGGUUCUCUUGUUUACUUUGCUUGACCCGUAAAUCACUCUCAAAUUGUGGAAAAUUGUGGCCGGAAUAUGUUUCUUCCAGGUAAUGAAGAUUGAAGGAAAGAGAUAUGAAUCUUCCCUGUGUUGACUGUAAAUGGAAGCCAUAAAUUCCCAGCAUUCAGAAGAAUGGAACACAAGUUCAGGAUAGCAAGGUUUUCCACAGAUCUUGUCCAGUAUAGUAGAAGAAUUAUAAUUCUUCAUAAGUUGUCUUAGUCUGCUUCUACUAUGAAGAGGAUUGUAGUGUUUUCUGUAGAGAUAUAUUGCUGCAAAUGCAAGCAGACUAUCUUGAAGGCCACUGCAGAAAUAGACGGUAUUGACUCUAUACAAGUGGAUAGCUCUAAGAACACUGUGACUGUCACUGGGGAAGCAGAUCCUGUGAAAAUAGCCAAGCAACUAAGAAAGUCCAAGAAGCAUGCAAAACUUUUGACUGUUAAAGCUGCUGGCUAAAAACAGAGGAGGUCCAAAACAACCAUCUGAUCCAUUUUAUCUCAAUAAUGGAGAUGCAAUAGUUUUCAAUUUUGUUGAGAGUGUGCUACAAUGUAAUCUGUAAUUAGGACAAGGUAGAAAGAGAAACAGUUGAUUUCAGCUAUCUGGUCUUUUCGAGGUCACAGAUAUUGUUGUUUUAAUAAUAUUCUUAAAUCAAUUCAGGCAAUGAAUUUGGGCUUGCUCCAUUAAGCUA
Long non-coding RNA from Cryptomeria japonica (Japanese cedar), 758 nucleotides. RefSeq lists it as uncharacterized. The transcript has 3 exons. NCBI's taxonomy places the organism in Eukaryota, Viridiplantae, Streptophyta, Pinopsida, Cupressales, Cupressaceae. The record is from RefSeq and is a predicted model, not a curated record.